This is a small nuclear RNA of Suricata suricatta (meerkat), 107 nucleotides long. The record is from Ensembl. NCBI's taxonomy places the organism in Eukaryota, Metazoa, Chordata, Mammalia, Carnivora, Herpestidae.
GUGCUCUCUUUGGCAGCAUAUAUAAUAAUAUUGGAAUGAUUUAGAGAAGAUUAGGAUGGCCCCUGCACAAGGAUGACAUGCAAAUUGGUGAAGCGUUCUAUAAAGAA